This is a long non-coding RNA of Fukomys damarensis (Damara mole-rat), 2614 nucleotides long. The record is from Ensembl. NCBI's taxonomy places the organism in Eukaryota, Metazoa, Chordata, Mammalia, Rodentia, Bathyergidae.
UCCCUCCCAGCGCAGCCCAGGGGUCUAGCACAGUGUUUCCCAGACUCUGUCAUUUGCGGGUGAAUUUCCAGGCCAGGAUCCACUCCAGCAAGAGAAGGCAGGGGAUGAGUCCCCUGGGGGCCUGGGACAGGCUGCUGCCCUGGAGGCAGCCUGGGUGUUGAGGUUCUCUGGCUCCCCAAACACCCCUCAGCUGCUGUUCCAAUCACUUUCCAAGACAGGAAGUGACAGCGGUACUGGCUGCUCCACAUACUGGGGCUGCUGGGCGUCUUUUCUGUACCUCACCGGCACCCGUUCUUCCUCUGCCUGGGAGGACUGGGUAAGAGACUGCAAGCCACAGUGGCACAGAAGUCCUCCUCCUUUCCCGACCUGUCACUUUGAGCAUCAUCAACUACAUCUUCCAUCUUCUUAUUUUAUUCCUCACCUGCCAGGCCAGUUCAUUACUCACUCAAGCAUUCCACACGUGCUGUGGGGCAGGGCUCACGGCCUGAGUACCACAUCCUGGGGGUUAGCCUGUGCCCUCUGCUUGACCACAGUCCCCAAGGCGAUGCCUCUGUGUCUUCCGAAACCUAACCCGGGAGACUUGGCUACAAACCCCAAGUGGGGCCAAUACCGCCUGGAAAUUGAGACUUGGCACUUAGCAGGCUGGUGCAUGAGGGUCAGAAUCUUUUGCAAAUUGGAAGGGGACUAAGACAGAAAGAGGGGGGAGAGGCUAUGAAAAGAGAUGUAAAAAGAAUUAAGAUGUAUUAUGUAUAUAUAUGAACUCCCCACAACAAAUGUAAUCAUUACGUACUGCGAGCGUGGAUGAAUAGUUUUUUUUUUUUUUUUUUUUUUUUUUUUUUUUUUUUUUUAAAAUUUUUUUUUUUUUUUUUUUUUUUUUUUUUUUUGUGGUACCGGGGAUCGAACUCCAGUCCUUGCGCUUGCGAGGCAGGCCACCAAACCACUGAGCUAAAUCCCCAGCCCGAAUAACUUUUUAAUGUAAUUAUCACAAGAAUUGACAAAUGGAAUCACAUCCAAUUAAAAGCUUCUACAAAGCAAUGAAAACAAUUAACAAAGUGAAGACACCGUAAGAGACUGGGAGAAAAAUCUUUGCCAACUACGCUUCUGACAGAAGACUAAUAUCCAGAACAUUUAAAGAACUCAGAAAACGGGAAGGUGAACUGAGCACACACUUCUCAAAUAAGGAGGUACAAAGGACCACAAAGUGUGUGGGAAACAUGCUCCACAUCCUUAGCUAUCAGGCAGCGCAGAUGAGAACUGCAGUGAGGUUCCAGCUCACCCAGGCAGAAUGCCUGUCUCCGGGAACUCAGGAUAUAAUAAAUGCCGGCGAAGAUGUGGGGGAAAGGAACACUUCCGCACUGUUGGGGGAAUGCAAGUGCAGCCACUAUGGAAACGCGUGUGGAGGCUCCCAAAUAACUAAAAGCAGAGCUACCAUAUGAUGCAGUUAUGCCACUCCUGUGUAAAAAGAAAGAAAGAAAUUAAAGCCAGCACACUACGGAGACAGCUCCAUGCACAAUGCAGCACAAUUCACAGCUUUGGAAUCAGCCUAGGGUUUGGUCAGCAGGUAAGUGGAAAAAGAAAAUGUGGUGUGUAUAUACAGCAUACCGUAUUAAAGGGGAACAAAACCGUGUCACCUGCAGGGAAAUGGACGAAAGUGGCUAUCAUGUUCCGUGAAAUAAGCCAGACUCGUGUGGCAUGUUUUAUCUCAUAUGUGGAAUCCAGGGGGAAAAGAUGACGUGAAAGUGGAAGUGAGUCUGUUAGGGAAGAGGAAAGGGGUGGGGAGAGGACGGGGAGCUAUCUGAGGCAGGGAACAGCGAGGAGAGAUAGGAUCCAAGUUAGACGCAUGUAUGAGAAUGUGACGGUAAAGCCCAAUAUUCAGUAUGAUUACUUUGCUCUGAUUUUAGAAAGAGUUAAAAAUAACUGCCAAGAAUUUCAUGAUGCAUCAGCCCUGCUGAGCUGCGCAGACUGAAGAAGGUUCAGAGGUGAAGACAGUCAUCUGCACAAAGAACCGUAGAGACCCCUAAACGUACAGCUCCAGGGCCAGAGUAGCCUCGAUUCCUGGCAGAUUGGUAACUUCUGGUCCCGCGGACUGGUUCUUGAAUUCCUGUGAACCUUGCUAUAUUUUGUAACCAAGUUCGUAAAUCAUAUUUGGGACGUCUUCGUCACAAAUACCCAACACCCAGAAUUUAAGGGAGUAGAGGUUUAUUUUGGCUUACGUUUCAGUCCACAGUCGCUGACUCCAAGGCGGGACUUCAUGGUAACAAGGCAUAGUGGACAGAAUACAGAAAGUGUAAAAAGAAGAGCUAGAAAGGGAGACAUAAAUAACCAGGUCAUUCCCACAGGGUCCUCCUCUUCCACCCAGGUCCCGCCUCCUAACCCCCAGCACACACGGCUCAGGGGAGACAUAUUGUUCUGAACCAUGACAGGAGGGUUCCUGUUUCUGGGUGGAAUGAUGCCUGGGUCUGUGGACUCUGAAGAAGGCAUUUUGCUGCAGGUCAGUUAAACUACUGGACUCAUUCUUCCUACCUAGCCAUCGUCAUGCAACUGCCAUUCUAAUCUGUAACCGAAGCAAACGUAGCCAUCAUUUUGUAUGUCAAAGCUGAAUUUGUCAGCCCCA